This 24-nucleotide non-coding RNA is filed under the name Arabidopsis thaliana (thale cress). Lineage: Eukaryota; Viridiplantae; Streptophyta; Magnoliopsida; Brassicales; Brassicaceae. The record is from RNAcentral.
CUUAUUAUAGGAAGCGGUCAAUGC